ACAUGCCUACAACUAGUGUUAAUGCAUCGAAUCCCAUUAGAACUCCGUAGUUAAGUGCGCUCAGGCUAGAGUAGUACUGGGAUGGGUGACCACGCACGAAGUCCUACUAUUUUACAUGCC
Molecule: non-coding RNA, 120 nt
Organism: Picea glauca (white spruce)
Lineage: Eukaryota; Viridiplantae; Streptophyta; Pinopsida; Pinales; Pinaceae
Source: Rfam